AUCAGUUAGGUUUGGGGUCAAUUUAAUUAAAAUUUCAGUCAAUUCAGAAAGUAAACCACAUUUAAAUUCCAAUUUGUCCUAACUGAAAAGCUUUGAUGAGAAUUGGAAUUUCAGUGUACUUCCUGAAUUGACUGGAAUUGGGACCAGGUGUGGUGUCAAUCUCCAACACACACAGUAGAAAUGUGCAUGACGCACCCACUUCGGGAACUGGCCCUUUCAGCUAUCUAUUUCCUGUGUUUGAGGAGUCCACAAAAUCCACUUGUCACUUAAAUAUUGCUGGCUUGAUUGCUUACGUUUUACUCCUGCGACUCAUUCCUACUCUUGCUUGUGUCUCAUUUUUUUAACGUUAUGAUCGCUUGAAUGUUUGUAGUGACCUGUCGAACACCCUGGUAAUGGCUGAAAUGGGCUCAAUGGAAAACAUUUGCUUUCCAUUGCAUCUAUAAAAACGCUAAAUCUUCGUCUGGGAUUUAACACACAUUUAACUUACAUCACAAGAAAGAUAACUUUAUUUUGUUUGGUGUUAAUUUUUUUGUGGAACUUAAAGUAAUUUAAUACAUUUUGAAAUGUUUACAAAUUAACGUGUGCUGAAAUGAAAGUAACUUCCGAAAAUAAACACUUGGAUUAUAUUUAUGUCUGAUUACACAAAUAAUUUAAAGUAUGUAUAGAUGGGUAUAAUCUAGAGCCAAGCGUGUUGAUUUUAAAUAUGAGGGUAUCCUGCUAUUGAAACACAUGUUGAAUUAUGCAAGAGAACAGGACAACAGUAAUUUAAUGCAGUCAAGACGGCCUAGACACAGCAGGUGAGUGCAGGUGGGCCUAGACACAGCAGGUGAGUGCAGGUGGGCCUAGACACAGCAGGUGAGUGCAGGUGGGCCUAGACACAGCAGGUGGGCCUAGACACAGCAGGUGGGCCUAGACACUGCAGGUGGGCCUAGACACAGCAGGUGAGUGCAGGUGGGCCUAGACACAGCAGGUGGGCCUAGACACAGCAGGUGGGCCUAGACACUGCAGGUGGGCCUAGACACUGCAGGUGAGUGCAGGUGGGCCUAGACACAGCAGGUGGGCCUAGACACAGCAGGUGAGUGCAGGUGGGCCUAGACACAGCAGGUGGGCCUAGACACUGCAGGUGGGCCUAGACACUGCAGGUGGGCCUAGACACUGCAGGUGGGCCUAGACACAGCAGGUGGGCCUAGACACAGCAGGUGAGUGCAGGUGGGCCUAGACACAGCAGGUGAGUGCAGGUGGGCCUAGACACUGCAGGUGGGCCUAGACACUGCAGGUGGGCCUAGACACUGCAGGUGGGCCUAGACACAGCAGGUGGGCCUAGACACAGCAGGUGGGCCUAGACACAGCAGGUGAGUGCAGGUGGGCCUAGACAUAGCAGGUGAGUGCAGGUGGGCCUAGACACAGCAGGUGGGUGCAGGUGGGCCUAGAAGACAGAGCGCGUUUUUGGUGGUUACAGCCCUGUUCCACUCAUUUAUGUUAAUGUAUACAUAUAUGCACAUUAGGCACACACAAAUAAAAAAACAUUACUUUUUAAAUUGAAUAACUGAAUUCCAACAAAUCCCUGAAUUCAUUAUUUGUCCGUGCCAGGAAAAUGUUUAAUGUGCUAUAAUUCUAUCAAUAUCUAAGGGAUUUUAACAAUUCUAAAAGGUUUGGAGUAUCUUCAUCCCUUGUCCAACUGAUACAUUUAUUAGAAACAAACAAACAAACAACCUUUUAACAAUUUUGAUGACAGUUGCUACACAGUAAAUCUCAUUCAAGAGUUUCUUUUUAUUUUUUUUUAAAGAGUCAACGGCCAUCCCUCGUCCCUCAUACACAGAAGACCCCCAGGCCAGAGGCAGUGGCAUCAUCCCAGGAGCCAUUGCAGCUGCACUAUUCAUUGGUUUCGUAUUGGGUCUCUAUGCAGUUCUGUGGAAGUGUAUGGUCUCACCACCCCAAAGGAAGAAAAGGAGGGUGAGGGUUCGAGACAAGAGGAGCCAAGUAUGCUGACUGACAAUCAGGAUCUCAUCUAGGCCAUCUGGCCAGAGGAUCCAUUGGAUCCAACUCCUGCAUCAAACCCCGGCCAGUCAAACGGACCCGAAAAGAUCCACUGAUACUGACUUGUCUCUCAUCGGGAUGUUCCUGGACAUCAGAGAGGAAAUGGAGAUUCAGAAACAUUUGCAUAGAGCUAGGGGAUGGCAUAAUUAUGGAUCUAGCUUAUCAUGGUCAGAGGAUGGACCGGAAUCUAAGGAUCCGGUCAAAUGGAUCUAAAAGGAUCUUCUAAAUUGCCUUAAGAGGAUCCACUCAAAUGGCUAGAGGAUCCACUCAAAUGGCUAAAGGAUCCAACUGAAGUUGCGUCAGAGAGCAUGAAUAAACAAUCUAAAUCAGUUAAGCUGGGGUCUGCAGACUCAUCAAACUUGUAAACAUUUUUGUAUGUAAAAAAAUAAUAAUAAUCUGAAUAUUACUAACAGGUCACAUUUUUGCCAAGAGAUCUGUUGAAUUAGUUUAGAGUGUAAAUACAAUAAAAUGUCAUAUUAUUAAUAUACAAUUUAUGUUCUUAAACCCUGGACAACGUGGGCCUGGGAGGCUCACAGGGAUAUUGGCAUCUACAGUACUCACCAAUUAUACAUUUUUCAACUCAAUAACCCAUAGUGUGUGUAUAUUUUAAACUUCAGUUUUCUUUCUGUCUCAUGGGAAAAUGUGUUGAAUUGCAGAAGAUUAGUGCUAAAGCUGCAACAACACAAACUCUUUGCCCCAUGACAAAAUCUGUCAAGAGGCUGGCCUUUUAAAAUGUUCUUCCCCAGGACCGAGCCUUGGUUCGUCUGGCCAUACACUGAAGUCAUAGUAAAACACUGUGUAUGCUAUUUUUCUCACUCGAGUUGGUCUGAUUGAGGGGGUCCCUUUAUAUAUUUGCUAUCACAAAAAAGGUGCCGGACCCCAAUAGUUUGAGAGCCUGAUCUAAAUGAUUCUAGGAUCCACUGUAUGCCACAGUGCUAUGCCUGCGUGAGAUGCUGACUUUAACUGAAGCGUAGCUAUACUGUUGUCUGCGGGUCACUGACAGUUGACAGUGAAAUUUGUACUACUGAGGAAGGAGGCAGCACAGGUCACUGUUCUUCCUAUCGGUCAACAAGCCUACUGGCCUGGCAAACAUGUAGGUAUGUUUUUUUUUCUGUUUGGGUGAGAGUGUGUGUAGAUUUUGAUUAGGGCUGACUACAUGUGUUUGAAAGCAAAGGAAAGUGAUAAUGAAUGGGAAAUUUGCUAAAACUUUAUAUUUGGUUGUGCAUGUGAUAUGAUGGCUUUAGGUGAAUGAUUGAGCUGGAGUUAAUGGCCUUAUGAUAUCCAGGUUUGUCAUGUUACUUUUCCUCAGGAUGUCACUUACUGUUCCUUUCAUUAAACUGUGAUUUGUGUUCUUGCUCUUUUACUGAGUUUUCCCUUUUUUACUUUCAUCAGAGUUAAAUCUGAAUUUACACCCGAGUUACUAUUUAGUGUUGGGAUGAAUGUACAUUCAUUCUGAUUAACGAACAAUGCAAAUUAUGCAACAGAACACUAGGAAAGGAGAGGUUUAAAAUGAGCUCAAAAUUCUCUAUCAAAUACUAACAAAUUAUUGUGUUAGUGGGAGGUCUUGAAGUCAUACACAAUUAGAUGAUUCUAAGGAAUUCAAGUCUUAAGUCCUUUGGGUUUUAUGUAACUAAUAAACUUGUAAAAUGUUCAAA
Molecule: RNA transcript, 3692 nt
Organism: Oncorhynchus masou masou (cherry salmon)
Lineage: Eukaryota; Metazoa; Chordata; Actinopteri; Salmoniformes; Salmonidae
Exons: 4
Source: RefSeq, a predicted model, not a curated record